AAUAUUAAAAGCUAAGGUAGUUGUUAUCAUCGACGCAUUAAAAAAGGAAAAAAUUAUCAAUUUAAAUUUAUCACAUAUUGACUUACCAAGAAGUGUUCGCUCCGUUAACAAUCCACGCAGUACUUUUACAAAACCGGUCUGUGGUGGUCUAUUUCAAGGUUUAAUUAUUUUAUACCAAAUAUAACAGUAAUUCUUAUAAGCGUCUUUUUAGAGCUGAAUUAUAAUUGAGUUUUAAAAUGUCCGGUCAAAUUGAAAACAUAAAAUCAGCUGUAAAAGAAGCAUUGUAUGAUGAAUCGAAACCAUGGACCAAUCUUUUUGCAUGGGCUGAAGUACAAACUGGUGUCAAUCGAUUAAAUUUAUUCUUAGGGUUAACAGUUUUUACUGUAUUUUAUUUGGUAAUUGGUUAUGGAACUUUGUUAUUAAGCAAUUUUAUUGGUUUCUUAUAUCCUGCGUAUGCAUCAAUUAAAGCAGUUGAAUCACAUUCUAAGGAUGAUGACACUAAAUGGUUGACUUAUUGGGUGGUAUUUUCAUUUGUUACUAUUGUUGAGUUUCCGGCUCAGUGUAUUCUUAGUUGGAUACCAUUUUAUUCAUUAGUAAAGACUAUUUUCUUUGUUUGGUGUUACAUACCAAUUCAUAAUAAUGGUUCCAUUGUUAUGUAUAAUAGAUUUAUUCGUCCAUAUUUUUUAAAGCAUCAAAGUGAUAUUGAUCAAGCAGUCAAUGAUUUAUCUAAGAAAGCUGCUGAGGUAGCUGCUGAUAAAAUACUUGACAAGAAAAACUAAAUUACAGGAAUUAAAAAAAUAUAUGUUACAACUUGUACAGAUUUAUGAAUUUUAAAAGGUUAAAGUAAAGAUUAUAUUAUGUUUUUUAUUAUACAUGGAAAAACAAUGUCCUCACAAGUUGGAUUUAGCCAUUAGUCUAGCUUUUGUUUACUAGUGAUUAUAUUGUUUUGUUAUAAUUGUAAUUGUAUUUUAAUUCUUCAUAAUAAAGUUAUUUUUAAAAAUA
Molecule: RNA transcript, 1002 nt
Organism: Daktulosphaira vitifoliae (grape phylloxera)
Lineage: Eukaryota; Metazoa; Arthropoda; Insecta; Hemiptera; Phylloxeridae
Gene name: receptor expression-enhancing protein 5-like
Exons: 6
Source: RefSeq, a predicted model, not a curated record